GGCCUCAAAUCAGACAAAGAGUACCCCGCUGAACUUAAGCAUAUCAAUAAGCGGAGGAAAAGAAACUAACAAGGAUUCCCCUAGUAACGGCGAGUGAAGCGGGAACAGCUCAAAUUUUAAAUCUGGCUGCUUUGUAGUCCGAGUUGUAAUUUGAAGGAGUCUUGCCGCUGGCAAAACGAUGGCACAAGUCCUCUGGAACGGGGCAUCGUAGAGGGUGAGAAUCCCGUCUCUGGUCAUCACGCGCUGGCAUACGGCAGGCAUCCGAAGAGUCGAGUUGUUUGGGAUUGCAGCUCCAAAUGAGUGGUAAACUCCAUCUAAGGCUAAAUAUUGGCGAGAGACCGAUAGCGAACAAGUACCGUGAGGGAAAGAUGAAAAGAACUUGAAAAGAGAGUAAAACAGUACGUGAAAUUGUUGAAAGGGAAACGAUUGAAG
This 432-nucleotide ribosomal RNA is filed under the name uncultured Paraglomus. RNAcentral's name for it is "eukaryotic LSU rRNA". It matches the Rfam family "Eukaryotic large subunit ribosomal RNA", at positions 1 to 428 of the family's 3401-position model. Lineage: Eukaryota; Fungi; Glomeromycota; Glomeromycetes; Paraglomerales; Paraglomeraceae. The record is from RNAcentral.